UUAAGCGACUAAGCGUACACGGUGGAUGCCCUGGCAGUCAGAGGCGAUGAAGGACGUGCUAAUCUGCGAUAAGCGUCGGUAAGGUGAUAUGAACCGUUAUAACCGGCGAUUUCCGAAUGGGGAAACCCAGUGUGUUUCGUCACACUAUCAUUAACUGAAUCCAUAGGUUAAUGAGGCGAACCGGGGGAACUGAAACAUCUAAGUACCCCGAGGAAAAGAAAUCAACCGAGAUUCCCCCAGUAGCGGCGAGCGAACGGGGAGAAGCCCAGAGCCUGAAUCAGUGUGUGUGUUAGUGGAAGCGUCUGGAAAGGCGCGCGAUACAGGGUGACAGCCCCGUACACAAAAAUGCACAUAUUGUGAGCUCGAUGAGUAGGGCGGGACACGUGGUAUCCUGUCUGAAUAUGGGGGGACCAUCCUCCAAGGCUAAAUACUCCUGACUGACCGAUAGUGAACCAGUACCGUGAGGGAAAGGCGAAAAGAACCCCGGCGAGGGGAGUGAAAAAGAACCUGAAACCGUGUACGUACAAGCAGUGGGAGCCUCUUUAUGGGGUGACUGCGUACCUUUUGUAUAAUGGGUCAGCGACUUAUAUUCUGUAGCAAGGUUAACCGAAUAGGGGAGCCGAAGGGAAACCGAGUCUUAACUGGGCGUUAAGUUGCAGGGUAUAGACCCGAAACCCGGUGAUCUAGCCAUGGGCAGGUUGAAGGUUGGGUAACACUAACUGGAGGACCGAACCGACUAAUGUUGAAAAAUUAGCGGAUGACUUGUGGCUGGGGGUGAAAGGCCAAUCAAACCGGGAGAUAGCUGGUUCUCCCCGAAAGCUAUUUAGGUAGCGCCUCGUGAAUUCAUCUCCGGGGGUAGAGCACUGUUUCGGCAAGGGGGUCAUCCCGACUUACCAACCCGAUGCAAACUGCGAAUACCGGAGAAUGUUAUCACGGGAGACACACGGCGGGUGCUAACGUCCGUCGUGAAGAGGGAAACAACCCAGACCGCCAGCUAAGGUCCCAAAGUCAUGGUUAAGUGGGAAACGAUGUGGGAAGGCCCAGACAGCCAGGAUGUUGGCUUAGAAGCAGCCAUCAUUUAAAGAAAGCGUAAUAGCUCACUGGUCGAGUCGGCCUGCGCGGAAGAUGUAACGGGGCUAAACCAUGCACCGAAGCUGCGGCAGCGACGCUUAUGCGUUGUUGGGUAGGGGAGCGUUCUGUAAGCCUGUGAAGGUGUGCUGUGAGGCAUGCUGGAGGUAUCAGAAGUGCGAAUGCUGACAUAAGUAACGAUAAAGCGGGUGAAAAGCCCGCUCGCCGGAAGACCAAGGGUUCCUGUCCAACGUUAAUCGGGGCAGGGUGAGUCGACCCCUAAGGCGAGGCCGAAAGGCGUAGUCGAUGGGAAACAGGUUAAUAUUCCUGUACUUGGUGUUACUGCGAAGGGGGGACGGAGAAGGCUAUGUUGGCCGGGCGACGGUUGUCCCGGUUUAAGCGUGUAGGCUGGUUUUCCAGGCAAAUCCGGAAAAUCAAGGCUGAGGCGUGAUGACGAGGCACUACGGUGCUGAAGCGACAAAUGCCCUGCUUCCAGGAAAAGCCUCUAAGCAUCAGGUAACAUCAAAUCGUACCCCAAACCGACACAGGUGGUCAGGUAGAGAAUACCAAGGCGCUUGAGAGAACUCGGGUGAAGGAACUAGGCAAAAUGGUGCCGUAACUUCGGGAGAAGGCACGCUGAUAUGUAGGUGAAGCGACUUGCUCGUGGAGCUGAAAUCAGUCGAAGAUACCAGCUGGCUGCAACUGUUUAUUAAAAACACAGCACUGUGCAAACACGAAAGUGGACGUAUACGGUGUGACGCCUGCCCGGUGCCGGAAGGUUAAUUGAUGGGGUUAGCGGUAACGCGAAGCUCUUGAUCGAAGCCCCGGUAAACGGCGGCCGUAACUAUAACGGUCCUAAGGUAGCGAAAUUCCUUGUCGGGUAAGUUCCGACCUGCACGAAUGGCGUAAUGAUGGCCAGGCUGUCUCCACCCGAGACUCAGUGAAAUUGAACUCGCUGUGAAGAUGCAGUGUACCCGCGGCAAGACGGAAAGACCCCGUGAACCUUUACUAUAGCUUGACACUGAACAUUGAGCCUUGAUGUGUAGGAUAGGUGGGAGGCUUUGAAGUGUGGACGCCAGUCUGCAUGGAGCCGACCUUGAAAUACCACCCUUUAAUGUUUGAUGUUCUAACGUUGGCCCCUUAUCGGGGUUGCGGACAGUGUCUGGUGGGUAGUUUGACUGGGGCGGUCUCCUCCUAAAGAGUAACGGAGGAGCACGAAGGUUGGCUAAUCCUGGUCGGACAUCAGGAGGUUAGUGCAAUGGCAUAAGCCAGCUUGACUGCGAGCGUGACGGCGCGAGCAGGUGCGAAAGCAGGUCAUAGUGAUCCGGUGGUUCUGAAUGGAAGGGCCAUCGCUCAACGGAUAAAAGGUACUCCGGGGAUAACAGGCUGAUACCGCCCAAGAGUUCAUAUCGACGGCGGUGUUUGGCACCUCGAUGUCGGCUCAUCACAUCCUGGGGCUGAAGUAGGUCCCAAGGGUAUGGCUGUUCGCCAUUUAAAGUGGUACGCGAGCUGGGUUUAGAACGUCGUGAGACAGUUCGGUCCCUAUCUGCCGUGGGCGCUGGAGAACUGAGGGGGGCUGCUCCUAGUACGAGAGGACCGGAGUGGACGCAUCACUGGUGUUCGGGUUGUCAUGCCAAUGGCACUGCCCGGUAGCUAAAUGCGGAAGAGAUAAGUGCUGAAAGCAUCUAAGCACGAAACUUGCCCCGAGAUGAGUUCUCCCUGACCCUUUAAGGGUCCUGAAGGAACGUUGAAGACGACGACGUUGAUAGGCCGGGUGUGUAAGCGCAGCGAUGCGUUGAGCUAACCGGUACUAAUGAACCGUGAGGCUUAACCUU
This 2903-nucleotide ribosomal RNA is filed under the name Escherichia fergusonii. RNAcentral's name for it is "bacterial LSU rRNA". It matches the Rfam family "Bacterial large subunit ribosomal RNA". Lineage: Bacteria; Pseudomonadati; Pseudomonadota; Gammaproteobacteria; Enterobacterales; Enterobacteriaceae. The record is from RNAcentral.